RNAcentral lists this ribosomal RNA (497 nucleotides) under uncultured bacterium. RNAcentral's name for it is "partial 16S ribosomal RNA". It matches the Rfam family "Bacterial small subunit ribosomal RNA", at positions 28 to 507 of the family's 1533-position model. The record is from RNAcentral.
GACGAACGCUGGCGGCGUGCCUAAUACAUGCAAGUUGAGCGAUGAAGCUUGGUGCUUGCACCAAUUUGAAGAGCAGCGAACGGGUGAGUAACGCGUGGGGAAUCUGCCUUUGAGCGGGGGACAACAUUUGGAAACGAAUGCUAAUACCGCAUAACAACUUUAAACAUAAGUUUUAAGUUUGAAAGAUGCAAUUGCAUCACUCAAAGAUGAUCCCGCGUUGUAUUAGCUAGUUGGUGAGGUAAAGGCUCACCAAGGCGAUGAUACAUAGCCGACCUGAGAGGGUGAUCGGCCACAUUGGGACUGAGACACGGCCCAAACUCCUACGGGAGGCAGCAGUAGGGAAUCUUCGGCAAUUGACGAAAGUCUGACCGAGCAACGCCGCGUGAGUGAAGAAGGUUUUCGGAUCGUAAAACUCUGUUGGUAGAGAAGAACGUUGGUGAGAGUGGAAAGCUCAUCAAGUGACGGUAACUACCCAGAAAGGGACGGCUAACUACGUG